UGCAAGUCGAGCGGAACGAGUUAACUGAACCUUCGGGGGACGUUAACGGCGUCGCAGCGGCGGACGGGUGAGUAAUGCCUAGGAAAUUGCCCUGAUGUGGGGGAUAACCAUUGGAAACGAUGGCUAAUACCGCAUGAUGCCUACGGGCCAAAGAGGGGGACCUUCGGGCCUCUCGCGUCAGGAUAUGCCUAGGUGGGAUUAGCUAGUUGGUGAGGUAAGGGCUCACCAAGGCGACGAUCCCUAGCUGGUCUGAGAGGAUGAUCAGCCACACUGGAACUGAGACACGGUCCAGACUCCUACGGGAGGCAGCAGUGGGGAAUAUUGCACAAUGGGCGCAAGCCUGAUGCAGCCAUGCCGCGUGUGUGAAGAAGGCCUUCGGGUUGUAAAGCACUUUCAGUCGUGAGGAAGGUUUAGUCGUUAAUAGCUGCAUUAUUUGACGUUAGCGACAGAAGAAGCACCGGCUAACUCCGUGCCAGCAGCCGCGGUAAUACGGAGGGUGCGAGCGUUAAUCGGAAUUACUGGGCGUAAAGCGCAUGCAGGUGGUUUGUUAAGUCAGAUGUGAAAGCCCGGGGCUCAACCUCGGAAUAGCAUUUGAAACUGGGAGACUAGAGUACUGGGGGAGGGGGCGUAGAAUUUCAGGUGU
RNAcentral lists this ribosomal RNA (643 nucleotides) under Vibrio sp. RNAcentral describes it as "bacterial SSU rRNA". It matches the Rfam family "Bacterial small subunit ribosomal RNA", at positions 56 to 676 of the family's 1533-position model. Lineage: Bacteria; Pseudomonadati; Pseudomonadota; Gammaproteobacteria; Vibrionales; Vibrionaceae. The record is from RNAcentral.